This 486-nucleotide ribosomal RNA is filed under the name uncultured bacterium. Its description in RNAcentral is "bacterial SSU rRNA". It matches the Rfam family "Bacterial small subunit ribosomal RNA", at positions 30 to 509 of the family's 1533-position model. The record is from RNAcentral.
AUUGAACGCUGGCGGCAGGCCUAACACAUGCAAGUCGAGCGGAUGAAGAGAGCUUGCUCUCUGAUUCAGCGGCGGACGGGUGAGUAAUGCCUAGGAAUCUGCCUGAUAGUGGGGGACAACGUUUCGAAAGGAACGCUAAUACCGCAUACGUCCUACGGGAGAAAGCGGGGGACCUUCGGGCCUUGCGCUAUCAGAUGAGCCUAGGUCGGAUUAGCUAGUUGGUGAGGUAAUGGCUCACCAAGGCGACGAUCCGUAACUGGUCUGAGAGGAUGAUCAGUCACACUGGAACUGAGACACGGUCCAGACUCCUACGGGAGGCAGCAGUGGGGAAUAUUGGACAAUGGGCGAAAGCCUGAUCCAGCCAUGCCGCGUGUGUGAAGAAGGUCUUCGGAUUGUAAAGCACUUUAAGUUGGGAGGAAGGGCAUUAACCUAAUACGUUAGUGUUUUGACGUUACCGACAGAAUAAGCACCGGCUAACUUCGUGCC